CCAGUUGCUUUCACUUUCCAGAUUAUUCACCCUGCUCGGCGUCAGUGGGAGAGACACGAGAGAGAUGGGAAACCGAACACAAAUCACUCCGGUUCUGUAAGCUCUUUGCUGAGUGGACGCACCUGGGGCUCCCGGGAGGGAAGCCGGAGAUGAGAGAUUGGAACCAGCCCGGCGUUACGCCUGAGCGCUACCGGGGUGAGCGAGAGGGGAAUCGCGCCCGGCGCCUUCAUUCCUGACGUUCAGCGGCUCGCCUGGGGCAGGAGCCAGCCCUUCACAGACCGUCCCGCCUUCGCUUGCAGACGCAGGCUGCUCCGCACCAUGACGAGAGUCGGUCUCGUUUGCUCACUUCACUCGAUUGUGCUGUGGACUCUCUGCUAUGCUGAGCUUCUCCAGAGCCCAUCAACAUGGUGCAGUCUGUGGUGGAUUAGUCUGGGAGUGUUACUGGGGAUAUUAGCAUUUGCUCUCCUUCGAAUGUAUAAUCCUUCCUGGCGGAAACUGUGGCUGGACAAAAAGUCACCUCGAAGUGAGUCCCAGCAGACUGUGUCCGACCAUAAAAAAGACGAAGAGGAGAACAAACAUCUGCUCCAGGCAUCCUCGUCAACCUCUAUAGACCUAGGAGUGGCCAAUCCCACCCACAGGCCACCUGCGCAUUCCUCCCCGGUACGGCUCCGGACAUUUCGCUUCCCUUCUUUGUUUGCACAUGUGUCUGAGGUCAUUAGAUUUGAGGGGAGGAGGCUGGGUCACUAGGUCUUUCUCUUUGGAUUUCUCAAGGCCCUGCUGCCCGUUUGAAAUGAUGCCCUUGUCAGGCAAACAUGGAAAGGGAAAAGAGAUCAGGAUUGCGGUUUUGAAAACUGUCAUGUUUUCUUUCUUUUGUCACAUCUCAAAGCCUCUUGGCACAGAGACUUCACCUUUGCUUUAUUUAAGGCUUGUUUACACAUGAAAGUUAAUCCAGAAUAAGGUAAAUGUGUGAAUUUAAAGCAGAAUAACGAUUCCAGAAUAACUCCAUAAGGGGAUAUUCUUAUUCUAGAAUGAGAGUGCCUUUUUCUUUUGUCCAAAGUGGAUUAAGGGUUUGCCUAGAGCAGGUCUACACUACGGGGUGGAUCGAUGCUGUGACAAUCGAUCCACCGGGUUUCGAUUUAUUGGGUCUAGUGAAGACCCGUUAAAUCAACUGCCGAUCACUCUCCCGUUGACUCUGGUACUCCACCAGAACUAAAUGAGUAAGAGGAGUCGACGGGAGAGUGGACCCCAUGGUAAGUAGAUCUAAGACACAUUAAUUUGAGUUACGCUACUAACAUAACUCAAAUCGUGUAGCUUAGAUCGGCUUUCCCCUGUAGUUUAGACCUGCCACUACACAGGGAAUGAUUCCUGAUUAACCGUUCCUGGUGAAGGAUCUUUGACAGUCUGACAUCUAUGGGGGUGGGGGAAGAAGAAUGACAAGGUGUCCUCAGUCCCUUCCCACCAGCGA
This is a long non-coding RNA of Trachemys scripta elegans, 1465 nucleotides long. RefSeq lists it as uncharacterized. The transcript has 3 exons. Lineage: Eukaryota; Metazoa; Chordata; Testudines; Emydidae. The record is from RefSeq and is a predicted model, not a curated record.